Molecule: ribosomal RNA, 315 nt
Filed under: uncultured eukaryote
Lineage: Eukaryota
Description: partial 18S ribosomal RNA
Rfam family: Eukaryotic small subunit ribosomal RNA
Source: RNAcentral
CCCUUAGACGUUCUGGGCCGCACGCGCGCUACACUGACCAGUGCAACAAUCAUCCGUCCUUGGCCGACAGGCCCGGGCAAUCUUUGAACGCUGGUCGUGAUGGGGAUAGACUUUUGCAAUUUUUGGUCUUCAACGAGGAAUUCCUAGUAAACGCAAGUCAUCAACUUGCAUUGAUUACGUCCCUGCCCUUUGUACACACCGCCCGUCGCACCUACCGAUUGAAUGGUCCGGUGAAGCCUCCGGAUUGGCGCGCACCUCGGUGCCGCCGAGAAGUUGGCUAAACCUUACCAUUUAGAGGAAGGUGAAGUCGUAACA